CUCGUAGGCGGUUUGUCGCAUCUGCUGUGAAAUCCGGAGGCUCAACCUCCGGCCUGCAGUGGGUACGGGCAGACUAGAGUGCGGUAGGGGAGAUUGGAAUUCCUGGUGUAGCGGUGGAAUGCGCAGAUAUCAGGAGGAACACCAAUGGCGAAGGCAGAUCUCUGGGCCGUAACUGACGCUGAGGAGCGAAAGCAUGGGGAGCGAACA
Molecule: ribosomal RNA, 207 nt
Filed under: uncultured bacterium
Lineage: Bacteria
Description: partial 16S ribosomal RNA
Rfam family: Bacterial small subunit ribosomal RNA
Source: RNAcentral